This 402-nucleotide ribosomal RNA is filed under the name uncultured bacterium. RNAcentral describes it as "bacterial SSU rRNA". It matches the Rfam family "Bacterial small subunit ribosomal RNA", at positions 355 to 774 of the family's 1533-position model. The record is from RNAcentral.
UGGGGAAUAUUGGACAAUGGGGGCAACCCUGAUCCAGCCAUGCCGCGUGAGUGAUGAAGGCCUUCGGGUUGUAAAGCUCUUUUGGCGGGGACGAUGAUGACGGUACCCGCAGAAUAAGCCCCGGCUAACUUCGUGCCAGCAGCCGCGGUAAGACGAAGGGGGCAAGCGUUGUUCGGAAUUACUGGGCGUAAAGCGAGUGUAGGUGGUUGUCAUAGUCAGGUGUGAAAGCCUUGAGCUCAACUCAAGAAAUGCACUUGAUACUGGGCGACUAGAGGACCGGAGAGGAUAGUGGAAAUCCCAGUGUAGUGGUGAAAUACGUAGAGAUUGGGAAGAACACCAGUGGCGAAGGCGGCUAUCUGGACGGUUUCUGACACUAAGACUCGAAAGCGUGGGGAGCAAACA